Molecule: ribosomal RNA, 401 nt
Filed under: uncultured bacterium
Lineage: Bacteria
Description: bacterial SSU rRNA
Rfam family: Bacterial small subunit ribosomal RNA
Source: RNAcentral
GAUGAACGCUAGCUACAGGCUUAACACAUGCAAGUCGAGGGGCAGCAUGGUCUUAGCUUGCUAAGGCCGAUGGCGACCGGCGCACGGGUGAGUAACACGUAUCCAACCUGCCGUCUACUCUUGGACAGCCUUCUGAAAGGAAGAUUAAUACAAGAUGGCAUCAUGAGUCCGCAUGUUCACAUGAUUAAAGGUAUUCCGGUAGACGAUGGGGAUGCGUUCCAUUAGAUAGUAGGCGGGGUAACGGCCCACCUAGUCUUCGAUGGAUAGGGGUUCUGAGAGGAAGGUCCCCCANAUUGGAACUGAGACACGGUCCAAACGUCCUACGGGAGCAGCAGUGAGGAAUAUUGGGUCAAUGGGCGAGAGCCUGAACCAGCCAAGUAGCGUGAAGGAUGACUGCCCUA